RNAcentral lists this ribosomal RNA (289 nucleotides) under uncultured bacterium. RNAcentral describes it as "partial 16S ribosomal RNA". It matches the Rfam family "Bacterial small subunit ribosomal RNA", at positions 773 to 1060 of the family's 1533-position model. The record is from RNAcentral.
GUGGAUUAGAUACCCUGGUAGUCCACGCCGUAAACGAUGAGUGCUAAGUGUCGGGGGGUUUCCGCCCCUCGGUGCUGGAGUUAACGUAUUAAGCACUCCGCCUGGGGAGUACGACCGCAAGGUUGAAACUCAAAGGAAUUGACGGGGACCCGCACAAGCGGUGGAGCAUGUGGUUUAAUUCGAAGCUACGCGAAGAACCUUACCAGCUCUUGACAUCUUCUGUCCACUCUAGAGAUAGAGCUUCCCCUUCGGGGGCAGAAUGACAGGUGGUGCACGGUUGUCGUCAACU